UACGUAGGGGGGCAAGCGUUGUCCGGAAUCAUUGGGCGUAAAGCGCGUGUAGGCGGCUCGGUAAGUCCGCUCUGAAAGCCCGGGGCUCAACCCCGGGAGGCGGGUGGAUACUGCUGAGCUCGAGUCCGGAAGAGGAGUGUGGAAUUCCGUGGUGUAGCGGUGAAAUGCGCAGAUAUCAGGAGGAACACCAAUGGCGAAGGCAGCACUCUGGGACGGUACUGACGCUGAGACGCGAAAGCGUGGGGAGCAAACAGG
RNAcentral lists this ribosomal RNA (255 nucleotides) under uncultured bacterium. RNAcentral describes it as "partial 16S ribosomal RNA". It matches the Rfam family "Bacterial small subunit ribosomal RNA", at positions 524 to 776 of the family's 1533-position model. The record is from RNAcentral.